This 584-nucleotide ribosomal RNA is filed under the name uncultured bacterium. Its description in RNAcentral is "bacterial SSU rRNA". It matches the Rfam family "Bacterial small subunit ribosomal RNA", at positions 912 to 1508 of the family's 1533-position model. The record is from RNAcentral.
GACGGGGGCCCGCACAAGCGGAGGAACAUGUGGUUUAAUUCGAUGAUACGCGAGGAACCUUACCCGGGCUUGAAUUGUGCAGGACGGUUUCCAGAGACGGAAUCCUUCUUCGGACCUGCAUGAAGGUGCUGCAUGGUUGUCGUCAGCUCGUGCCGUGAGGUGUCGGCUUAAGUGCCAUAACGAGCGCAACCCCUGCCGCCAGUUGCCAUCCUUGAGUGGGGCACUCUGGCGGGACUGCCGUCACAAGGCGUGAGGAAGGUGGGGAUGACGUCAAAUCAGCACGGCCCUUACGUCCGGGGCUACACACGUGUUACAAUGGGGGGCACAGCGCGCCGCCACCUGGCGACAGGGAGCGAAUCGUGAAAUCCCCUCUCAGUUCGGAUCGGAGUCUGCAACCCGACUCCGUGAAGCUGGAUUCGCUAGUAAUCGCGCAUCAGCCAUGGCGCGGUGAAUACGUUCCCGGGCCUUGUACACACCGCCCGUCAAGCCAUGAAAGCCGGGGGCGCCUGAAGUCCGUAGCCGCGAGGGUCGGCCUAGGUCGAAACCGGUGAUUGGGGCUAAGUCGUAACAAGGUGCCGUCCGAG